UACGUAGGGUGCAAGCGUUGUCCGGAAUUAUUGGGCGUAGAGAGCUCGUAGGCGGUUUGUCGCGUCGGCUGUGAAAACCUGGGGCUCAACCCCGGGCCUGCAGCCGAUACGGGCAAACUAGAAUUCGGUAGGGGAGACUGGAAUUCCUGGUGUAGCGGUGAAAUGCGCAGAUAUCAGGAGGAACACCGGUGGCGAAGGCGGGUCUCUGGGCCGAUAUUGACGCUGAGGAGCGAAAGCGUGGGGAGCGAACAGG
This 253-nucleotide ribosomal RNA is filed under the name uncultured bacterium. RNAcentral's name for it is "partial 16S ribosomal RNA". It matches the Rfam family "Bacterial small subunit ribosomal RNA", at positions 524 to 776 of the family's 1533-position model. The record is from RNAcentral.